Molecule: transfer RNA, 69 nt
Filed under: Leptodactylus melanonotus (black-backed frog)
Lineage: Eukaryota; Metazoa; Chordata; Amphibia; Anura; Leptodactylidae
Description: tRNA-Trp
Rfam family: tRNA
About the family: Transfer RNA (tRNA) molecules are approximately 80 nucleotides in length.
Source: RNAcentral
AGAAACUUAGGAUAACUAGACCAAGAGCCUUCAAAGCCCUAAGUAAGAGUUAAACUCUCUUAGUUUCUG